Long non-coding RNA from Monopterus albus (swamp eel), 622 nucleotides. RefSeq lists it as uncharacterized. Lineage: Eukaryota; Metazoa; Chordata; Actinopteri; Synbranchiformes; Synbranchidae. The transcript is spliced from 3 exons. The record is from RefSeq and is a predicted model, not a curated record.
UGGCUGAGGUUCUACGCCGCCGCCACCAUCGUCACUAAAGCUAUCGACUUGUGGCAUAAUCCUCCUCUCACAAUGAUUAUGAGCACCCAGGCCCAAUGAGGUGGUGUUUUUGAUCAAUGUCAUUUUCAUCAUAUUUGCACUUAUUUUUUUAAUUGGAAUUAAAUUGUUUAUUGUGAUAUUCUUUAGAGCAGCUCAGGAGGAGAGGGACAGCACCUCACUGAGUGAUGAUGCGGUCCCGUAGCAGGAGUCUCCCGACUCCUGCUACUUUGAGGAGGCCUCCAGUCUCCUCCACCUUGGCCCCCCCCUUCAUCCCCGCCCCAUUUGGGAACAGCAGCCGCACCAGCAAGAAGAUCAAAAGGAGCAAGCAGAGCAGCUCAGGAGGAGAGGGACAGCACCUCACUGAGUGAUGAUGCGGUCCCGUAGCAGGAGUCGGAGGCAAAAACAGUUGUCAGAGGAGAGCAGCAGCAACAGCAACAGGUGAAGAAUGAGGAGCAGGUUCUGGAUGAUGAUGAUGAUGAGCAGCUAUGCCCAUCAGAUGUGCCUGCACCAGUGGCAGAGCCAUGCCAGAGGGUCUCCAAGGACAGCAAAAGAGUUUGCAGAGGCGAGCAGCACCAGCACGAGG